Molecule: ribosomal RNA, 1533 nt
Filed under: Klebsiella pneumoniae
Lineage: Bacteria; Pseudomonadati; Pseudomonadota; Gammaproteobacteria; Enterobacterales; Enterobacteriaceae
Description: bacterial SSU rRNA
Rfam family: Bacterial small subunit ribosomal RNA
Source: RNAcentral
UUGAAGAGUUUGAUCAUGGCUCAGAUUGAACGCUGGCGGCAGGCCUAACACAUGCAAGUCGAGCGGUAGCACAGAGAGCUUGCUCUCGGGUGACGAGCGGCGGACGGGUGAGUAAUGUCUGGGAAACUGCCUGAUGGAGGGGGAUAACUACUGGAAACGGUAGCUAAUACCGCAUAACGUCGCAAGACCAAAGUGGGGGACCUUCGGGCCUCAUGCCAUCAGAUGUGCCCAGAUGGGAUUAGCUAGUAGGUGGGGUAACGGCUCACCUAGGCGACGAUCCCUAGCUGGUCUGAGAGGAUGACCAGCCACACUGGAACUGAGACACGGUCCAGACUCCUACGGGAGGCAGCAGUGGGGAAUAUUGCACAAUGGGCGCAAGCCUGAUGCAGCCAUGCCGCGUGUGUGAAGAAGGCCUUCGGGUUGUAAAGCACUUUCAGCGGGGAGGAAGGCGGUGAGGUUAAUAACCUCAUCGAUUGACGUUACCCGCAGAAGAAGCACCGGCUAACUCCGUGCCAGCAGCCGCGGUAAUACGGAGGGUGCAAGCGUUAAUCGGAAUUACUGGGCGUAAAGCGCACGCAGGCGGUCUGUCAAGUCGGAUGUGAAAUCCCCGGGCUUAACCUGGGAACUGCAUUCGAAACUGGCAGGCUAGAGUCUUGUAGAGGGGGGUAGAAUUCCAGGUGUAGCGGUGAAAUGCGUAGAGAUCUGGAGGAAUACCGGUGGCGAAGGCGGCCCCCUGGACAAAGACUGACGCUCAGGUGCGAAAGCGUGGGGAGCAAACAGGAUUAGAUACCCUGGUAGUCCACGCCGUAAACGAUGUCGAUUUGGAGGUUGUGCCCUUGAGGCGUGGCUUCCGGAGCUAACGCGUUAAAUCGACCGCCUGGGGAGUACGGCCGCAAGGUUAAAACUCAAAUGAAUUGACGGGGGCCCGCACAAGCGGUGGAGCAUGUGGUUUAAUUCGAUGCAACGCGAAGAACCUUACCUGGUCUUGACAUCCACAGAACUUUCCAGAGAUGGAUUGGUGCCUUCGGGAACUGUGAGACAGGUGCUGCAUGGCUGUCGUCAGCUCGUGUUGUGAAAUGUUGGGUUAAGUCCCGCAACGAGCGCAACCCUUAUCCUUUGUUGCCAGCGGUCCGGCCGGGAACUCAAAGGAGACUGCCAGUGAUAAACUGGAGGAAGGUGGGGAUGACGUCAAGUCAUCAUGGCCCUUACGACCGGGCUACACGUGCUACAAUGGCAUAUACAAAGAGAAGCGACCUCGCGAGAGCAAGCGGACCUCAUAAAGUAUGUCGUAGUCCGGAUUGGAGUCUGCAACUCGACUCCAUGAAGUCGGAAUCGCUAGUAAUCGUAGAUCAGAAUGCUACGGUGAAUACGUUCCCGGGCCUUGUACACACCGCCCGUCACACCAUGGGAGUGGGUUGCAAAAGAAGUAGGUAGCUUAACCUUCGGGAGGGCGCUUACCACUUUGUGAUUCAUGACUGGGGUGAAGUCGUAACAAGGUAACCGUAGGGGAACCUGCGGUUGGAUCACCUCCUU